CAGCCGCCGCGGGAAUACAGAGGGUGCGAGCGUUAAUCGGAUUUACUGGGCGUAAAGCGUGCGUAGGCGGCUAAUUGAGUCGGAUGUGAAAUCCCCGAGCUUAACUUGGGAAUUGCAUUCGAUACUGGUUAGCUAGAGUGUGGGAGAGGAUGGUAGAAUUCCAGGUGUAGCGGUGAAAUGCGUAGAGAUCUGGAGGAAUACCGAUGGCGAAGGCAGCCAUCUGGCCUAACACUGACGCUGAGGUACGAAAGCAUGGGGAGCAAACAGGAUUAGAUACCCGUGUAGUCCCUGUCUCUUAUAC
RNAcentral lists this ribosomal RNA (301 nucleotides) under uncultured bacterium. Its description in RNAcentral is "partial 16S ribosomal RNA". It matches the Rfam family "Bacterial small subunit ribosomal RNA", at positions 509 to 807 of the family's 1533-position model. The record is from RNAcentral.